AUGAUUCAUGAAAGGAGAGAUGCACAUCCCUAUAAAAUGAUAGACAAUCACUAGUGCUUGUUACACACAAAGGGUUGAUGGUUGAAUACUAUUAAAUAAAAAAUAAAACGUUUUU
Oncorhynchus kisutch (coho salmon) is the source of this 115-nucleotide small nuclear RNA. The record is from Ensembl. NCBI's taxonomy places the organism in Eukaryota, Metazoa, Chordata, Actinopteri, Salmoniformes, Salmonidae.